This is an RNA transcript of Eucalyptus grandis, 1891 nucleotides long. RefSeq lists it as uncharacterized. NCBI's taxonomy places the organism in Eukaryota, Viridiplantae, Streptophyta, Magnoliopsida, Myrtales, Myrtaceae. The record is from RefSeq and is a predicted model, not a curated record. The transcript is spliced from 2 exons.
AUGGCUAAAGCAUCUCACCAGAUAGACAGAAACACCACUCUUCCAAUCCGCACUAAAACUCCCUCCUCCUCCAAGUCCAGUAAAAAAUGCUUCACCCUUCCUUUAUCUACCAAUUCUCAAAGACUCUCCGCUUUCAUUCUCACCACAGGUCUCACAAUCUUUGCCCUCUCACGAAUCCCAAAUCUCCAAACCCCACCAUCUUCACCUUUAGCACCAUCACCUCCCUGGUCUCUCAAGCGUCAGUGGCAUAAUAUCCUCAACACCGCCCUAAGCCCUGAUAAUUCGACCCUAGAAUCUGAGCUCGAAGCUAUGGCCGAAAAGCUCCGUGAAUCAGUCACAUUUCUUCCGCUCAAGGACAUGCGCUUUCGUGGACCGACCUCAAGAGGGCCAUACGUGGUUCAUGAGCUCCAUGUACGAUGCUCAUGUCGAAGGCGAGGUCCAGUACCAGCACUUCCCCUCGGAAUCGUCGAAAGGUAGGGUUCUGUGCGUUAAAGGACAUGACACCCAUGAUGGCUCGUGGAACUACUACGCGCUCGCGUGGCCUGAAACUCUCCCGGCCAAUGCCAUGCUCAUGAGAGGCCUAACCUUUGUAUCGUAUAAUCACUACCAUUAUGACAAUAUCUGGCACGGCUUGUCGUCCAUUUUUCCGUUCGUAUCGUGGCAUCAGAGGAACAGCUGCAGGUCCCCCGACCGGUGGGUCUUGUACCACUGGGGCGAGCUCAGGUUCAAGAUGUCACCAUGGCUGAAUAACUUGAUGGAGGCAACGUUCGGAAAGCAACCACACAUAGAAGAGUUUGACAAGAUUGAGGAAAACACUCCGGUUUGUUUUGAGGAGGCAGUUGUUAUGAGACACAAUGAAGGUGGUAUGUCUAGACAGAGAAGAGUGGAGGCCUACGACUUAUUGAGGUGCAAAGCAAGAAACUACUGUAACAUGAAGUUGAGAGGCGAAAUCGAAGAGGCUCAUGGAAAGAAGAGAAAUGGUAUCGUUGGUCUGACUAUGUUCAUGCGAAGAGGAGCGAGAUCAUUCAAGAAUGACUCAGCUGUGAUUGAGAUUUUUCAGAGAGAAUGCAAUAAGGCCGAAGGGUGUAGCCUGAUGGUGGCCUACUCCAGUAAUCUCGGUUUCUGUGAACAGGUGAAAUUGAUGAGCAUGACAGACAUUCUAGUGUCUCCACACGGUGCACAGUUGACCAACAUGUUCCUAAUGGACAGAAACAGCAGCAUAAUGGAGUUCUACCCAAAGGGUGGUUGAAAAAUGCAGGAGUCGGCCAGUAUGUUUACCGCUGGUUAGCUAGUUGGUCAGGGAUGAGAUACGAGGGUGCUUGGAGGGACCCAAAUGGAGAACCAUGUCCCUAUCCGGAGGAAGAUCGUCGAUGUAUGUCCAUCUACAAAAGCGGCCAAAUUGGAUACAACAUGACAUUAUUUACUGAGUGGGCGACAAAUGUCCUUCAACAGGUCAUUACCACCAGGAAAGGAACACUGUCGAAGCAUUCUUUUGGUGGCUGUGCUUGCAGCUAGAUCUGCCUCUUUUAGAUCUCACACUAUAUACAUAGAGCUUGAUGCAUAAAAAAUAAACAAAACAAACGCGUCUAUUCUUCUAUAGUGCUCUUGAUGUACCUGUGUAAGUGUGCUCUAGGCCCGAAAAAAAUGCCUUUGCAACAAUAGGAUCAAAUGUUUGAGCCCAUCCUACAUGUUGCACCAGGGAAGAUUUCAUCAAAAGCACCUCUAGAUUGUCCAUUACCUCAACGUUUAAACAUAUGCACUACCUAAUCAGGUGCAGGUUCCAGCGGGUUUAGCUCUGCUUUACUCAUCAGAUCGGUACCAUAGCCCAGAGAUUAUUUGACCAAAAACGAAUUUCUUGAGAAAUUUCUUUUACUCUUGCGGUAUCAACAUA